ACCUUAGUAACGGCGAGUGAAGCGGUAAAAGCUCAAAUUUGAAAUCUGGUACUUUCAGUGCCCGAGUUGUAAUUUGUAGAAUUUGUCUUUGAUUAGGUCCUUGUCUAUGUUCCUUGGAACAGGACGUCAUAGAGGGUGAGAAUCCCGUUUGGCGAGGAUACCUUUUCUCUGUAAGACUUUUUCGAAGAGUCGAGUUGUUUGGGAAUGCAGCUCAAAGUGGGUGGUAAAUUCCAUCUAAAGCUAAAUAUUGGCGAGAGACCGAUAGCGAACAAGUACAGUGAUGGAAAGAUGAAAAGAACUUUGAAAAGAGAGUGAAAAAGUACGUGAAAUUGUUGAAAGGGAAGGGCAUUUGAUCAGACAUGGUGUUUUUUGCAUGCACUCGCCUCUCGUGGGCUUGGGCCUCUCAAAAAUUUCACUGGGCCAACAUCAAUUCUGGCAGCAGGAUAAAUCAUUAAGAAUGUAGCUACUUCGGUAGUGUUAUAGCUUUUUGGAAUACUGUUAGCCGGGAUUGAGGACUGCGCUUCGGCAAGGAUGUUGGCAUAA
RNAcentral lists this ribosomal RNA (543 nucleotides) under Hanseniaspora uvarum. RNAcentral's name for it is "eukaryotic LSU rRNA". It matches the Rfam family "Eukaryotic large subunit ribosomal RNA", at positions 77 to 634 of the family's 3401-position model. Lineage: Eukaryota; Fungi; Ascomycota; Saccharomycetes; Saccharomycodales; Saccharomycodaceae. The record is from RNAcentral.